Long non-coding RNA from Corylus avellana, 1016 nucleotides. RefSeq lists it as uncharacterized. The record is from RefSeq and is a predicted model, not a curated record. NCBI's taxonomy places the organism in Eukaryota, Viridiplantae, Streptophyta, Magnoliopsida, Fagales, Betulaceae.
GAAAAGUCAGGACGAAUAUGGCCCUUGGGAGUUGGGACAUUGAGUUUUUUUUCUAAGCAGACUGUCUUAUCUCUUUUUGAGAAUUGCUACACUUACAAAGGCUGUUACAAAUAAAGUCUUACAAACUGACGUGGCAAAAAAAAAUUGGGAUCAACUGCCCGUGAUGGAAUCCCCCAACUUGACUUCCUCCUGCUUCUCAAUCUCCUUCACCCACAACCCGGCGUGAAUCCUCUGCUUCUUCAACCUCUGUUGCAUAUCUUGCUGUUUGGCCUUGGACCCUCUCCUCUAAUUCCAAUUCUCAUUCAUGUCCUCCACAAACGCCUUGGUCCGAAGACGGGAAAUUCACGUCGGUCUCACAGGGAGCCCGGUGCUUCAGCGAUAGGUCCUCCGGCAGCCAAGCCAUCUCCCAUGAGUCGUUCCAUUGGUCGUCGGGAUUUUUUGAGUUGCGGCUGGCGGACGAAGAAGACGGUUUGUUGGAGGAAUCUCUAGAAUGGGGCUUUGGGAUUGUGGCUUGAGCUUGAAAUGGAGGAUCACUGGUUGGUUAAUUGGUAUGUAGAAUUUUGAUUGAAGAAAUUGGUCUGAGAAGAAGAAAUCCGUGACCCAGCGUGGGUCUGGGUCUGGCAACGACCCGCCGGCCUGACCUUGCUGGGUCUCGGCCAGACCCAGGCGUGGGUCUGGCCGAGACCCACGAUGCACGGCAGGUCGCGGGCAGACUCAAGCGUGGGUCUGCCCGCGACCCAGUCUGGUCUCUCACGGGCAGUUGGUCCCAUUUUUUUUUUUGUCUUUUUCCUUGCCACGUCAGUUUGUAAGGCUUUGUUUGUAAAAGCCUUUGUAAGUUUAGCAAUUCUCCUUAUUUUUCUAAGACGCGUAGUUUCAUACUAAACACAAAUCUAAUCUUGACAAAUAAACUUAUAGAAUUUUCUCAUAUCUAGCUAUUCAAUGGGACCCCUUGCCUAUUAUUUGUGUAUAUUCUUCAAAACCUGUAUAUUCAUAUCAAUCUCAAACCAUUUAUUGAA